GGCAGUUCUCAGGUGACACACUCAGAAUCAGGUUCCUUCUUCUCUGGUUCUGGGAUGUGUCACCCGAGAUUCACC
Molecule: non-coding RNA, 75 nt
Organism: Myotis davidii
Lineage: Eukaryota; Metazoa; Chordata; Mammalia; Chiroptera; Vespertilionidae
Source: Rfam